UGGGGGAUAUUGCACAAUGGGCGAAAGCCUGAUGCAGCGACGCCGCGUGGGGGAUGAAGGCCUUCGGGUUGUAAACUUCUUUUGCUCUGAACAAGGCAUGCUAAUGGGUGUGUUGAGUGUAGGGGUUGAUUAGCGCCGGCUAACUACGUGCCAGCAGCCGCGGUAAUACGUAGGGCGCGAGCGUUGUCCGGAAUUAUUGGGCGUAAAGGGCUUGUAGGUGGCUGGUUGCGUCUGUCGUGAAAGCUCAUGGCUUAACUGUGGGUUUGCGGUGGGUACGGACUGGCUUGAGUGCAGUAGGGGAGGCUGGAAUUCCUGGUGUAGCGGUGGAAUGCGCAGAUAUCAGGAGGAAUACCGGUGGCGAAGGCGGGUCUCUGGGCUGUUACUGACACUGAGGAGCGAAAGCAUGGGGAGCGAACAGG
This 419-nucleotide ribosomal RNA is filed under the name bacterium. RNAcentral's name for it is "partial 16S ribosomal RNA". It matches the Rfam family "Bacterial small subunit ribosomal RNA", at positions 355 to 776 of the family's 1533-position model. The record is from RNAcentral.